GAUGAACGCUAGCGGCAGGCCUAACACAUGCAAGUCGAGGGGCAGCACAUAAAGUGGUUUACUACUUUUGGUGGCGACCGGCGGACGGGUGCGUAACGCGUAUGCAACCUGCCUCCAACAGGGGGAUAACGGAGAGAAAUUUCCACUAAUACCCCAUAAUAUCAGAAUCGGCAUCGGUUUUGGUUGAAAACUCCGGUGGUUGGAGAUGGGCAUGCGUUGUAUUAGAUAGUUGGUGAGGUAACGGCUCACCAAGUCAACGAUACAUAGGGGGACUUGGAGGUUAGCCACCCACACUGGUACUGAGACACGAACCAGACUCCUACGGGAGGCAGCAGUGAGGAAUAUUGGUCAAUGGGGGCAACCCUGAACCAGCCAUGCCGCGUGCAGGAAGACGGCUCUAUGAGUUGUAAACUGCUUUUACAAGGGGAUAAAUCGGUGUACGUGUACACCGUUGAAGGUACCUUGGGAAUAAGGAUCGGCUAACUCCGUGCCAGCCGCCGCGGUAA
RNAcentral lists this ribosomal RNA (506 nucleotides) under uncultured bacterium. RNAcentral's name for it is "partial 16S ribosomal RNA". It matches the Rfam family "Bacterial small subunit ribosomal RNA", at positions 28 to 523 of the family's 1533-position model. The record is from RNAcentral.